This 309-nucleotide long non-coding RNA is filed under the name Androctonus crassicauda. The record is from RNAcentral. Lineage: Eukaryota; Metazoa; Arthropoda; Arachnida; Scorpiones; Buthidae.
AUUUCUAAUCACGUGACAUUUCCUGCCUUUUCUGGAAAAAUGGCUAGCAUCAUCCGCGUUGAGAAAGAAUCCAUUCGAUAUUGUCGAAGUAUGAAUUGCAGACGAAUAAAAUCGAAACAGGCAACUCUAAAUCAAUGGAGAAUGCAUUCAUUGAUUUGCAAGUACAAAUAUUUUUACAGAUCAUUGCUUAUUUUCAUUGGAGAGAAAUCAAACGUUCACCAUUUCAAUAAUGAAAUGGCGAAGAACGAGAAUAACUACUGUAUAUGAAUAAAUAUGAACUAUGAAUAACUAGAAUGGUGUAGAAUAACU